Molecule: ribosomal RNA, 332 nt
Filed under: uncultured eukaryote
Lineage: Eukaryota
Description: SSU rRNA
Rfam family: Eukaryotic small subunit ribosomal RNA
Source: RNAcentral
AUAGCGUAUAUUAAAGUUGUUGCAGUUAAAAAGCUCGUAGUUGAACUUCUGGCUGAUGCGGAUUCUGGCUUCGGUCGUUUCCGUAUCAGUCAUCCGCUUGGGAACUCCGUUCGAACUUCACUGUUCGGCGGAAGGAACAGGCAUUUUACUUUGAAAAAAUUAGAGUGUUCAAGGCAGGCUAUCGCCCUGAAUACACAAGCAUGGAAUAAUGAAAUAGGACUGGUUCCAUUUUAUUGGUUAUUGGACUAGUAAUGAUUAAUAGGGACAGUUGGGGGCAUUAGUAUUUAAUUGUCAGAGGUGAAAUUCUUGGAUUUAUUAAAGACUAACUUCUG